UCUUUACAUACAAAGCCUGGUCUAUCUUGUGGAGGAGAGUUGAAGUUAUAGGUAGAUAGUCCUUUCUUUACAUACAAAGCCUGGUCUAUCUUGUGGAGGAGAGUUGAAGUUCUAGGUAGAUAGUCCUUUCUUUACAUACAAAGCCUGGUCCAUCUUGUGGAGGAGAGUUGAAGUUAUCGGUAGAUAGUCCUUUCUUUACAUACAAAGCCUGGUCUAUCUUGUGGAGGAGAGUUGAAGUUAUCGGUAGAUAGUCCUUUCUUUACAUACAAAGCCUGGUCUAUCUUGUGGAGGAGAGUUGAAGUUAUAGGUAGAUAGUCCUUUCUUUACAUACAAAGCCUGGUCUAUCUUGUGGAGGAGAGUUGAAGUUAUCGGUAGAUAGUCCUUUCUUUACAUACAAAGCCUGGUCUAUCUUGUGGAGGAGAGUUGAAGUUAUCGGUAGAUAGUCCUUUCUUUACAUACAAAGCCUGGUCUAUCUUGUGGAGGAGAGUUGAAGUUAU
Long non-coding RNA from Coregonus clupeaformis (lake whitefish), 497 nucleotides. RefSeq lists it as uncharacterized. The transcript has 3 exons. Lineage: Eukaryota; Metazoa; Chordata; Actinopteri; Salmoniformes; Salmonidae. The record is from RefSeq and is a predicted model, not a curated record.